RNAcentral lists this ribosomal RNA (371 nucleotides) under uncultured organism. RNAcentral's name for it is "partial 16S ribosomal RNA". It matches the Rfam family "Bacterial small subunit ribosomal RNA", at positions 527 to 896 of the family's 1533-position model. The record is from RNAcentral.
GAAGGGUGCAAGCGUUACUCGGAAUUACUGGGCGUAAAGCGUGCGUAGGUGGUGGUUUAAGUCUGCUGUGAAAGCCCUGGGCUCAACCUGGGAAUUGCAGUGGAUACUGGGUCACUAGAGUGUGGUAGAGGGAUGCGGAAUUUCCGGUGUAGCAGUGAAAUGCGUAGAGAUCGGAAGGAACAUCCGUGGCGAAGGCGGCAUCCUGGGCCAACACUGACACUGAGGCACGAAAGCGUGGGGGAGCAAACAGGAUUAGAUACCCUGGUAGUCCACGCCCUAAACGAUGCGAACUGGAUGUUGGGUGCAACUUGGCACCCAGUAUCGAAGCUAACGCGUUAAGUUCGCCGCCUGGGAGUACGGUCGCAAGACUG